This 2522-nucleotide long non-coding RNA is filed under the name Salmo salar (Atlantic salmon). RNAcentral's name for it is "lncRNA (ENSSSAG00000106090.1)". The record is from RNAcentral. Lineage: Eukaryota; Metazoa; Chordata; Actinopteri; Salmoniformes; Salmonidae.
GUCUUGUCUUUAAAAUGCUGUGAAAUAGUCAUAUGUUUGAAAAAUUGAAGUUUUUGUAUUUUUGAGGAAUUUGUAAUUCGCGCCACGCCUAUCAUUGGAUAUUGGAGCAGGUGUUCCGCUAGCGGAACGUCUAGAUGUAAGAGAUUAAGCUUUUAACCGAUAUAAGACACUUGUAUGUACCUCAAUGUUUAGUAUCUAUAAUUUUUAUGAUUAUUUAUUUGAAUUGCGCGCCCUCCAAUUUCACCAGAAGUUGUCGACAGGUGUCCCGCUGGCGGGACGCCUAGCCCUAAUUAUAUUACUCGGUUACGCAUACAAUAAUAUAUAACAGUAAUAUACUACUUUUAAGUAGUUAUUACCCCCAACACUGGUCCCAAGUGAUUAUGUUGAAUUUGUCUAUUUUUACACAUUAAAACUUGGAGAUGGAACCCUGUGUUGUGUAUUGUUUUGGUAUAACUGGCAUCAUCAAAUGUGAGAAAGUACAGACAAGCUACUGUAAAUAUAAAAAUGUCAGAUAUUAUGACAAUAUGGCCACCAUAUUAGGUCUCGAUUCUAUCAGAUCUGCUUUAGCCAACAUCUGCAUAGCGAUUAUUUUGCUGGUGUCAGAGGUGGAACUGCGUUAGAGCUGUCAAAUCCACAAGUGGCUCCAGGCAUUAUAGCUAAAGCGAACAUUGCCAUUGGCUGCAAGGAGUCGCAUUAACAGAAAUCCCAUGCAUGCAGCCUUGUUUACAAGUUCUAACACUGGAAUGUGAGAUGUAAUCUACACCUCCAUUAGGAUGAUAGAAAUCCUCAUUAUUUAGAUUUUUCAAGUUGAGCAUAAUUAUGUCUAUAUAGCUUACACUUUCUCAUUCUGAAUUUAUAACUGUGUGGCUUCUUGACAAUGAUCGCAAGAGCAGCUGCUCACUGAUUUGAUGGCUCAAACACAGUUCCACCUCUAACACCACCAAAACAUCCGCUAUAUGGGUGUCCAAUAUCACCUGUAACGCUUGAUCUGAUUGAAUCUAGGCCUUAGGAAUGUUAUAGAUAUGCAAUGAACAGAGCUGAUGUGAUUCCUUAUCAGGGUCACAUGUUUGUUCUACAUGGUAUAUGUGGUGUGAUUUUAAAAUAAUGAUAGUUGAGCAUCUCAAAGAGAACUCUCUAUCUAGAAUUCUACCGAUUCCCAUCUGUCAAUGAGAAACACAUAUUAACUGUUGCCAAAUAAUGAUUUUAACAUAUAUUGCAGGGUAGGGUGACUUGCCUAGCAGGUCUUGAACUGGGGCCACCAGCAUCAAUGACAAACAUCCUUACCACUGUCCCAAUAAGGGAUAUGCCCUACCAAGCAAAAGAGCAGUUGGCGAGACUUUAAGAGGUCACUGAACCCCUUAAGAAAGAGUUGCAGUCUGUUUUGGAUUGAGUAGCCAGUAAUAAACUGUUCCUGAACAUCUCUAAAACUAAGAGAGUUGUAUUUGGUACAAAUCAUUCCCUAAGUUCUAGACCUCAGUUGAAUCUGGUAAUGAAUGUUGUGGCUGUUGAACAAGUUGAAUUACUUAGUGUUACCUUACUUUAGAUAUUAAACUGUCAUGGUCAAAAUAUAUAGAUUCAAUGGUUGUAAAGAUGGGGAGAGGUAUGUCUGUAAUUAAUUAAGAGAAGCUCUGCUAUUUUGACACCACACUCCAAAAAAGCAAGUUGUCCAGCUGCUGCUGGCCCAGAACAGAAUGGCACGUCUUGCUCUUUAUUGUAAUCAGAGGGCUGACAUAUGUACGCCAGUCUCUCUUGUCUAAGAGUUUAGGAGAGACUGACUGCAACAAUUAUUUUUAUAAGAAACAAUUUGUUUAAAAUCCCAAAUUGUUUGCAUAGUCAAGUUAGCUCACACUUAUGCUAUUAGUGUUUUUUUUCACAGUCCCCAAAUCCAGAACAAAUUCAAGAAAACGUACAGUAUUACAUAGAGCCAUUAUUGCAUGGAACUCCGUUCCAUCUCAUAUUGCUCAAAUAAACAGCAAACCUGGUUUAAAAAAUGUGUCAUCGAAAUUAACUAGAGACGAUAAAUGUAAUCUGCUAUAUUUGUGUAGUAAUAGUAAUGUUCAGUUAACUUAAUCAGCACGUAAUAGAUUAAAGCAUGUAGUGAGUAUGCACAGGUAAUGGCUUAGUUCAGUGCAACUUGACUCCCCACAUACACAUGUAGGAUCUUAAUUUGAUCACAAUUUUGUUGCUUAGAAUUUUCCUACUCGAGCAGGAAAUGCAAAUUUGUAGUUUAUUCAUGGUUUAAAAAGGCUUCUAAAGUUUGUAAUUUCCACUUCAGACUUGAUUUACCCUAACGAAAAAUGUAUCAAGCCUUACAAAAACAUUCGUUAAUUAUAAUCCACAUAUUCAUUCACAUUUCCUUUUGCUUUAGGAUUAUUUUCCUUCUGUAGAAAACUGUCUCAAAUUAAGAUCCUACGUCUGUACUUGAUUGCACUAACAUUUAGUUAUUAAAAAUGGUAAAUUUCUCAUGGACCUUCUUCAUUAUUCUGGCACACUCUCCUCCGCCUCACGGGUGGCGCAGUGGU